CGUACAUUCAGCUGUUCGGUAACUUGUUCUGCGCGUAUAAAUUGUAUUAGUUUUAGUGUUUAAUAUAUUUAACGAUUUCAUCAUUAUUUUCACCAUAUAUUUCUAAAAUGUUGCGCAAUCUAACUCGUCGCUUUGAUUGCGCGCUCAGACUGCAGCGGCAAACAUAUCCACACGCAGUGCGCUUGCUUCAAACCACAGAUGUCAGCCGCGCGCUUUUUACACAAUACGCCUGCGAGAGUCGCUUGAACAAAAAGCAGCCCACACUGGCCACCGCCGCAGCCGGCAUCAGGAACCAUGCGACGCCCACAGCCAGUGAGGCGGACAAUGAGUAUGUGCCGUAUCGCACAGAGCUGGAGAGCGGCAGUCGCGCCAGUGCUGUAAUAGCGGCGAUACGCGAACGUUUUCGGCUCACCGAAGGCGAAGCGCAGCGCAUUCUGAGCGAUGAGCAAGUGCGUCGCAGCUAUCGCAAUCGCUGCCUGACAAAUGCGCUGGACAGGCUGCUGCUGGAGGGCGUGAGCAAGAAAAGCUUUUUGGAAUAUCCCUGGCUGUUGGGGCUCGAUCGGCAGCGUCUGGAACUUAAGCUGGAGCUGAUCAAAUCGAUGCACAUGCUCGACAUCAAUCACUUCGUGCCCUUUUUGCGUCUUACAGUGCCACGCCUACGCAAGCUGGUGGGCACCUUGAAUGCCGAGACCAACGAAUACCCGCAAAAGAAUCGCGUUUACUAUAUCAGCGAAAAGCUGGGCGUCAGCCCCGAGAUCGUCACAAAAUAUUUGUCGAAGCGACUCUUCAUACUGGAAAUGCCAUAUGAGAUGUUCGAGAAGAAUCUGGAGCACAUGAUCAACUAUAAUGUUUCACCCAUUAACAUACUGCGUGAUCUGUGGGCCUUUCGCUAUGCUCCCAAGGCUGUGGAGCUGCGCCUGGAGCGCGCCCAACGUGCGAAAAAGGAUAAGAUAAUGCCUUGGAUGGUGCGUUGCCCGGAACCUAUACUGCAACGCUCUCUAAAGCUUUCCCUGGAUGAGCUGCAGGUGCUGGGCGAAUUCUCCACCGUGGUGGAGUAUGUGGCGCAUCGCUUGGGCUUCAGUGUGAGCGAAACGAAGGCAAUUAUGGAUCGACAUCCGCAGGUGCACACAGUGCGCGUUACAAAGAUCAAAGAGGUCUUGGACUAUUUGCUAGACGUUGCGAAAUUCACACGCUUUGAAGUUGCGCAAGUACCGCGGAUUUUGUGCCACAGCCUAAAGACCACGCAGCAGCGCGUGGAGGAGCUGCAGUCGCUCGGCUGUCGACCCUCCACGCUGGUCAUCCUGUGUCGCAGCAGACGGGAAUAUGAAAAGUUCUUGCAGCAAUGGAACAGUCAGCAUGGUGCGCCACAACAGAUCAACAGCAGUUGAGCCUGGAUAAAAGAACUACAAUUAAAAUCUUCAGAAAGCUUCUUAAGGAACCAAGACUGUACUACGAUAAAGUUGAAUAAAAGAAAGUCUAAUUAUGUUGGAGAUCAACAAUGAAUGCCUCAGGAAUUACAUACUUAAUUCUAAUAUACUACGAAUAAAGUUC
Molecule: unclassified non-coding RNA, 1551 nt
Filed under: Drosophila mojavensis
Lineage: Eukaryota; Metazoa; Arthropoda; Insecta; Diptera; Drosophilidae
Description: GI17383
Source: RNAcentral